Molecule: long non-coding RNA, 1224 nt
Filed under: Homo sapiens (human)
Lineage: Eukaryota; Metazoa; Chordata; Mammalia; Primates; Hominidae
Description: novel transcript
Source: RNAcentral
ACAGUCUCAGCGGCUGCUGCUCCUGACGGGCACGCGUGAUGCCCAGUCUGGAGGGUUCGCUGCAAUCAGUGCUACAGCUUUAGAAACUGUGAUUUACUGCUGAUUUAAAACUCUUUAAAGAGCCGACUUCCUGCCGAUGGGGCUGAGGGAAGAGCGGCAGGCGCAGUGCUGGCAGAGACUCCGGCAGGGCCUCGUGCGGGGGCCGGGAGCAGCGCCUUCUUUUUAGGAAACGACGCUUCAGGCUCAGGCCCGUCCAUGCUCCUCUCCCGUGUGAGUGCAGAGAAGGUCCUGGGUUCUGUCUGCUGCUUCACUCUGGGGAAGCUGAUGGAACUGCCGCCAUUUCCCAAAGUAAAGGAGCUUAUCAGCGACUGAGCUGGCCGUGUUUAGGAGGACGGGGUGAUGCCACUGACACUGAGGGAGGCGUGAAGCCUGAGACGCGCCUGUGAGACCGGGACCGGUGGGGCCGGCGCGCGCCCAGAUUCCAGCUCUGCCCCAGGAGCCUGAAGCCCCCAGCAACCUGCAGUGUGGGCUCUGAGAAACUCGGUGAAACAGGGCUUCCCUGCAGGUGGCCAGCGGAUGGGACAAUCAGGGCAGACUUGGAGGUCUCUGAAGUCUUGGAAAGUCUGAAGGGCAGGCCAGCCUGGGAGAUGGAGGACACACUGGAGUGGCAGGUGCCUCGGGCGGCCGGCUGAGCACCAAAGAGGGACUUCUCACACACAGGUCCGCUUGGUCUCCUACACGCUUGCCCACGCGCUCCGUGGAUGCAGGAGCCGUGGUUAUCCUUGGCAGAAGGUUGAGUAGCACCUGCCUUGCCAGGGACCUGCUCCAAGCAGGCACGUCUGGUGAAUGCUGUGCCAGGCCCUUCCGGGAGCAGCCCCUCCCCGGGUGCCGGGGUCACCUGGCUCUGCCUGCCUGCAUGUGGAUCCCUGCGGGGCAGCGGGCACCCGGAUGACGUGGUUUUCCCUCACUGGAUUGGAGUGGAGUGAAUUUAACCCCCUCGUGGCUGCCAUCAUUUUCACUGUGAGGGAAGAGCAGCCGUGCCGUGGUGGUUUUAGAUGUCGUCUGUGGAGGACAUCAGGCUGACAUCCACGUCCUGGACUCCCCCUCGUUUGGUUUCAGAAUUUCUCUUAAAGACAACAUCAUAUUGUGACCCCAAAGCAUUCGAUAGAAAUAUCAAAAUUUUAAGGCACUUUGAGAAUUAAGAUAAAAUAUCUGUAAAUAUUA